AGGACGAACGCUGGCGGCGUGCCUAACACAUGCAAGUCGAACGAGGUCCAACCGGUGGCAACACUGGUGAAGACCUAGUGGCGAACGGGUGAGUAUCACGUGAGCAACCUGCCCCGAAGACCGGGAUAACACCGGGAAACCGGUGCUAAUACCGGAUACCCCCACCGGAUCGCAUGGUCUGGUGAGGAAAUGAAUUUUGCUUUGGGAGGGACUCGCGGCCUAUCAGCUUGUUGGUGGUGUAACGGACCACCAAGGCUUCGACGGGUAGCUGGUCUGAGAGGACGAUCAGCCACACUGGGACUGAGACACGGCCCAGACUCCUACGGGAGGCAGCAGUGGGGAAUCUUGCGCAAUGGGCGAAAGCCUGACGCAGCAACGCCGCGUGAGGGACGAAGGCCUUCUGGGUUGUAAACCUCUUUCAGCAGGGACGAUGAUGACGGUACCUGCAGAAGAAGCCCCGGCAACUACGUGCCAGCAGCCGC
This 482-nucleotide ribosomal RNA is filed under the name uncultured bacterium. Its description in RNAcentral is "SSU rRNA". It matches the Rfam family "Bacterial small subunit ribosomal RNA", at positions 26 to 518 of the family's 1533-position model. The record is from RNAcentral.